AUGAAUAAAUUAACAAACCAUUGAAUAAUUAGUUAAUUAGUGACAACCCAGGCUGAGAGAAAUGAGCAGAAGGGGUGACUAUGGCCUCUCUGAGGAGGGAAAGUGGCUAUUUUAUAUUCCCAUGUAGAGAGAGAGGACUGUUUUCUGAGCUCUGGUUUUCUGGAGAUAAUAAUCAGGAGUGUUGUGUAUGUGCUUUGCAAUUCUAAAGUGCCACACAAUAUUAUUUACAUCAUUCUGCUUUUCUCCUUGAUGAGCUGUUUAAAAAAUGGUAAUAUUAUAAUCCGGCAGAUUAAUCUUGUGUGAUAAAAACAAAGGCUCGCUUUUCAGAGUUCUCCAUCAUGCCAGCCAGUAUACCUGUCCCUGCACAAUGACUGUGUCUGUGUAGACUCUUGCUGAGCCCAAAGGAGCGUCAAGGGCAAGAGAGGUGGGUCCCACAGAUCAUCCAUGGAACAGGCACAGGCACACCACUAUGCUUAAGGCUACCCAAAGAAACACAAGAAGAGAAUUCUAAGAAAACAAAGGGACUUCUGGGGAAACUCAAGAUGACUUGUCUGGGGAGAGGAAAAAUCUGUAAGGUUCAUUGUACAGCUUCUUGAUGAAAAGAAAAGAUGGCGUUGUCAUGGCCUGAGACGCGGAAAGGAAGAGUGAGGAUCCCUAAGAAUGAGAGGACAACCUGCAUGGCUGAGCUGUUUGAUUGACUGCAUUUCUUACUAAAUCUGUUGAAAGAAUAUGACAGGCUCCGAGAAAAGUGGGAGGAAGAAGGUGAGGCCUGGGCUCUGCCCUCUGCCCUCUGGAAACCCUUCAGGCAGGAUGGAAUCCCAGAAGCAUUCCAAACCUAUGGCAGGACAGGAUGGAUCAUCAAAAAGAGCAGAAGUGCCAGGGGAAGAGCAUCGCAGUGCUGGCAGACUACCACAGUCCUGGGAAUGGGACACAUUGCUGAUUUGCCUCUGCAUUCUGCUCAGCACUGGGCCAGUGCCUGCCAUGAGUGGGUUCCUGCUUGGUUUCUGAGGCGUACUAAAGAAGCCUUCACAACCGGCUGACUUUCUCUGACGGGAAUUUUGCUGGCUGGAGGGGGUGAUGUAGGGUGACUUCUCAGCAGGGUAUGAAUUUUCAAUACUAUGGUAAGAGCAGCAUGAUUGGAAGAGAGGCAUAUUUCACUCAAAUACACUCUGUUAUCUUUGUUUUACAUUUAAAUGAAACAUUUGGGCCUGCAUGAAAUUUGGAUGACACAUUAAGGGCAAUUUCCGCAGCGUGAUUCCUGUUGCUGAUUAAAGACUCAAGGCCUCCUGGA
This is a non-coding RNA of Marmota flaviventris (yellow-bellied marmot), 1291 nucleotides long. The record is from RefSeq and is a predicted model, not a curated record. Lineage: Eukaryota; Metazoa; Chordata; Mammalia; Rodentia; Sciuridae.